UUGGAGGAGCUUUGAUUAUUUGAUUAUCAGGUGUAUGGCGUGGCAUACAUACUUGUAAUGGCUUUCGCGAUGUAAUUUUAGAGUCUGGUUCUUUGCUCAUGGAUUUGUUAAAUAACUGACAUAUAGGAUGGAGAAAGCUGCUUUUAAAAUAAGGAUGGAGGACAAAUUUUAAUAAAUGAUUCAGUUGUGCAAUUCCUGCUGUCAUCCGCAAAAUCAUGCAAUGAUCUCUUGCUGAUCACUAAUGCUCACCACUGUUGUUGUCCUUAUUUUUGACUUUGUCGAUGAAAUGCUAAUUUGAUGAUG
This 303-nucleotide unclassified non-coding RNA is filed under the name Hevea brasiliensis (rubber tree). The record is from RNAcentral. Lineage: Eukaryota; Viridiplantae; Streptophyta; Magnoliopsida; Malpighiales; Euphorbiaceae.